RNAcentral lists this transfer RNA (73 nucleotides) under Paraburkholderia tropica. Its description in RNAcentral is "tRNA-Ser". The record is from RNAcentral. Lineage: Bacteria; Pseudomonadati; Pseudomonadota; Betaproteobacteria; Burkholderiales; Burkholderiaceae.
UGGGUGGGAUGGGAUGCGGAUUGCAAUCGCGUUCGCAAUGCGAAGGACGGGAGUUCGAUCCUCCUCCGCGCAA